Molecule: transfer RNA, 73 nt
Filed under: Candidatus Woesebacteria bacterium
Lineage: Bacteria; Candidatus Woeseibacteriota
Description: tRNA-Asp
Rfam family: tRNA
About the family: Transfer RNA (tRNA) molecules are approximately 80 nucleotides in length.
Source: RNAcentral
GGCCCCGUGGUGUAGCGGUUAACAUGUCUCCCUGUCACGGAGAAGACCACCGGUUCGAUUCCGGUCGGGGUCG